ACACAUGCAAGUCGAGGGGCAGCAUGGUCUUAGCUUGCUAAGGCCGAUGGCGACCGGCGCACGGGUGAGUAACGCGUAUCCAACCUGCCUUACACUCUUGGACAGCCUUCUGAAAGGGAGAUUAAUACAAGAUGUUAUCAUGAGUAAGCAUUUUCGCAUGAUUAAAGGUUUACCGGUGUAAGAUGGGGAUGCGUUCCAUUAGAUAGUAGGCGGGGUAACGGCCCACCUAGUCUUCGAUGGAUAGGGGUUCUGAGAGGAAGGUCCCCCACAUUGGAACUGAGACACGGUCCAAACUCCUACGGGAGGCAGCAGUGAGGAAUAUUGGUCAAUGGACGAGAGUCUGAACCAGCCAAGUAGCGUGAAGGAUGAAGGUUCUAUGGAUUGUAAACUUCUUUUAUACGGGAAUAAACGGAUCCACGUGUGGAUUUUUGCAUGUACCGUAUGAAUAGGGAUCGGCUAACUCCGUGCCAGCAGCCGCGGUAAUACGGAGGAUCCGAGCGUUAUCCGGAUUUAUUGGGUUUAAAGGGAGCGCAGAUGGGUUGUUAAGUCAGUUGUGAAAGUUUGCGGCUCAACCGUAAAAUUGCAAUUGAUACUGGCAGUCUUGAGUACAGUUGAGGUAGGCGGAAUUCGUGGUGUAGCGGUGAAAUGCUUAGAUAUCACGAAGAACUCCGAUUGCGAAGGCAGCUUACUAACCUGUAACUGACAUUGAUGCUCGAAAGUGUGGGUAUCAAACAGGAUUAGAUACCCUGGUAGUCCACACGGUAAACGAUGAAUACUCGCUGUAGGCGAUAUACAGUCUGCGGCCAAGCGAAAGCAUUAAGUAUUCCACCUGGGGAGUACGCCGGCA
Molecule: ribosomal RNA, 847 nt
Filed under: uncultured bacterium
Lineage: Bacteria
Description: bacterial SSU rRNA
Rfam family: Bacterial small subunit ribosomal RNA
Source: RNAcentral